GGAGGCCAAGAGGGGCUUUCAGCCAAUGAAAACUCACAGACACCUGGCCUUGAGAAGGGGGCGUUCCAGACACACAUCGUCAGGUGCGGCAGUCCCCAAGAAACCUUUCCUUGUGUUGACCCAAUUCAGCAGCUUCGAGUCCGCUCUGCGAACUUUAGCAGGGUCCUGCCCAAGCGACUCUGCUCCAAGAGCAGGAACAAGACCCCAAUCUCCGACUGCCGGUCCAGAGCUCCAGUUCGACAAUGGGGUGUGUGCACUUUGCAGCCAAUGGAAGCAGCAUGAUCAAACUGCGCCCUGAGACUCGCUCCUCGAUUUGGUGAAAUCUGGAGAUGGGCCGGCUCCGAGGCUGUCUGUGCAGGGGAGGUGAUCUUAAAUUGAAUUGCAGCCCUCCGAGGGGUGUUUGCCCCGUCAG
Molecule: long non-coding RNA, 412 nt
Filed under: Equus caballus (horse)
Lineage: Eukaryota; Metazoa; Chordata; Mammalia; Perissodactyla; Equidae
Description: lncRNA (ENSECAG00000047494.1)
Source: RNAcentral